CCCCAAUAGUGGCUUCUCCUUAAAUUCCUUCAUAACAGUCUCUCACUCUUAAUUGUCGUACUUGCUUGCUCUUCGUCCUCUAUUUUUUAGUACUUUUCUUUUCAAAAUUGCCACAAAGAAGUUGUUUCUCUCAAUUCUCAAGUUCUAAGAUGUCAGAGACAAGCCUAAGGCUUUGAAAACAGUCUCUAUUGUUCCAGGUAUUGAAAUAGUUAAAUUUUUCUUCGUUUUUCACCAAUCAAGAUUUCAUUCUUAAUUGAUACAAAACCACAAUGCUUCAGCUCCAAUUUACGUGCUUUUCUUUUUAGCCAUAUGAGUUUGUGAAAAAAUUAGUUAUAGCAUGAUUAUUAUCACUAAUAAUUUAUUAUACAAACUUUCCAGUUGUCCCCAUUUAGCUAUUCUUGAAUCAUUUUUCGUUAGUAUACCUCCAACCUAGUGGCGAAACUAGGAAUUUUUUCAGGGGUAUUCAAAUUUAAAAGAAGUGGAAAAAAUUCUUUAUAAAGGUUCAAUAUAUGUUAUAUACCUCUAAACAUAAUAUUUUACCUAAAUACACAUUGUAAUUUUUCGGCGAAAGGUGGUCAAUUGAUGACAUUAUGACUAUGUGGCUUCGCCACUGAUCCAACCUGUCAUAUAUCGUCUAUAUUUUGUAAACCUUGCUGUAUAGUCAAUCUAGAGCAUUGAUUGACUGAAUGGUAAUCCACUAAUAGUUUGUUAAUCAAUCAUUUGUAGAAUAUUCUGUGAAUUUGAGUCAGUAUCUGUUAAUGUUAUGUGAAAUUGAAGUCACAUUUAGUUUUCUAUCUCCAGGCAAUAACCCGUAGGAAAAAAAAAACUUGAGAAUGAAAACAAACUCGGAGAAGAAGUAUAUCACUGGCAAUUUAUUAUUCUAAUUCUCCCGGUGUCCCCAUUUAGCUAUCCUUGGAGCAUUUUUCAUAAGAAGCAGAAGACAACACUGAGAAAAGUGUAUAACUACAAGAAGUACUUUGAAGACCAGGGCCAUUCGUAGACGUUUUACCAAACAUCAGUCAUCUUUGAAGACAGAAAGGGAAAAUCACUUACAGAGCAAAGCAGAGGAUCAUAUUUUGCCAUUUUGCAAUGUUAUAUUUUGUAUUACUACUAUUAAUGCAUUGAAAACUUAGAGUUGAAAAAUAAAUUUUAAAAAAACAUUCCAACUGCAAAAGGUGCUACAAAAACAGGAUAAAUGGUAGGGACUUAAGUUUUUAAUCUAACCAAUAGGUUGGGUGAAUUCUU
Non-coding RNA from Nicotiana tabacum (common tobacco), 1245 nucleotides. Lineage: Eukaryota; Viridiplantae; Streptophyta; Magnoliopsida; Solanales; Solanaceae. The record is from RefSeq and is a predicted model, not a curated record.